GGGGGCGUAGCUCAGAUGGUUAGAGCGCUGCCCUGUCACGGCAGAGGCCGCGGGUUCGAGUCCCGUCGCUCCCGCUA
RNAcentral lists this transfer RNA (77 nucleotides) under Actinomycetes bacterium. RNAcentral describes it as "Actinobacteria bacterium tRNA-Asp". It matches the Rfam family "tRNA". Rfam says of the family: Transfer RNA (tRNA) molecules are approximately 80 nucleotides in length. Their secondary structure includes four short double-helical elements and three loops (D, anti-codon, and T loops). The record is from RNAcentral. Lineage: Bacteria; Bacillati; Actinomycetota; Actinomycetes.